RNAcentral lists this long non-coding RNA (732 nucleotides) under Parus major (Great Tit). Its description in RNAcentral is "lncRNA (ENSPMJG00000000366.1)". The record is from RNAcentral. Lineage: Eukaryota; Metazoa; Chordata; Aves; Passeriformes; Paridae.
CCACUCCUGACGCUGCAAGCGGCCAGUGAGCAGAGCUAGCCUAAGGCGUUUCGGGCCACAGCGGGCAGCGUCAGAUGCCCAUGCAAAGAUGCAUUGAGGAGGACGUACUUCUCUUCAGAACAUCUUUGAAAUCUUUCUUUUUGCGAUUAUGAGUUCACAGGACAGCCAAAAAUUUACUUUAAACACAAUGGUAGGGAAGUAAAAUAACAUCUGUUAAUAUUGAUUUGGUCAACAUGCUGUGGAUUGCUCACAGAAUUUGUCAUCCAGUUGACAUGUCAGGGACCUGAAAUGGAUUGCCAUGAACUGAGAGAAAUAGACUUGCCAUACUUUACAGCAACAGGAUAAUCAAUCAACAAGACCCUCCAGCUCUAACAUAUAAUGAUAAGAAGCUAAAAAUAAUCUAGAAUGCAGAAGGCUUAUCCCAUGGUUGCCCAGGCAGAGAGGAUAUAGUAUUCUCCAAGGAGUGGAAGAAAGGGUAUGAAAUCUGGUGUCUUCAUUUCUUUUAUUUACUGGAGAAAUAAGCUAUAGCAUUAAGCUAAUGAUAACUUUUUUUACAUGUCUCAGGUCACACCGACCAUGAGAUCACUUGAUUUACAAGACUUCAUGCAUAAAACUGAAUGGAAUCCAAAUGCUAAGGGGACUCCUGACCAAUAUUCAGUUGUCUUUUUUUCCUCUGAGAAGGCUUUAAUGUCACUUGGGGAACACCAAAGGGAGCUAAUCCAGGCCAUAUGA